GAACGCAUAUUGCGCCCUCUGGUAUUCCGGGGGGCAUGCCUGUCCGAGCGUCAUUACUAUCUUCAAGCUCUGCUUGGUGUUGGGCGUCUGUCCUGCCUCACGGCGCGGACUCGCCUCAAAUCUAUUGGCGGCCGGCACGUUGGCUUCGAGCGCAGCAGAAACGCGAACUCGGGCCCGACGGAUCGGCUCCCAGAAGCUACCCCCAUGAAUUUGACCUCGGAUCAGGUAGGGAUACCCGCUGAACUUAAG
Molecule: unclassified non-coding RNA, 249 nt
Filed under: uncultured Preussia
Lineage: Eukaryota; Fungi; Ascomycota; Dothideomycetes; Pleosporales; Sporormiaceae
Description: sequence contains 5.8S rRNA gene
Rfam family: 5.8S ribosomal RNA (bases 1-53)
Source: RNAcentral